This 1089-nucleotide ribosomal RNA is filed under the name Xylariomycetidae sp. genotype 406. Its description in RNAcentral is "eukaryotic LSU rRNA". The stretch from base 499 to 1089 matches the Rfam family "Eukaryotic large subunit ribosomal RNA", at positions 1 to 601 of the family's 3401-position model. Lineage: Eukaryota; Fungi; Ascomycota; Sordariomycetes. The record is from RNAcentral.
GGAUCAUUAUAGAGUUAUAAAAACUCCAAAACCCAUGUGAACAUACCUAUUGUUGCCUCGGCAGGUCGUGCUACCCUGUAGGAACUUACCCUGUAAGAACCUACCCGGUAGUACAUACCAGGCCUGCCGAAGGACCCAAAACGCUUGUUAUAAUUGGAACUCUGAGUAACUAUAUAAUAAGUUAAAACUUUCAACAACGGAUCUCUUGGUUCUGGCAUCGAUGAAGAACGCAGCGAAAUGCGAUAAGUAAUGUGAAUUGCAGAAUUCAGUGAAUCAUCGAAUCUUUGAACGCACAUUGCGCCCAUUAGUAUUCUAGUGGGCAUGCCUGUUCGAGCGUCAUUUCGACCAUUAAGCCCUAGUUGCUUAGCGUUGGGACUUUACAGCGAUGUAAUUCCUUAAAAUUAGUGGCGGAGUUGGAUCAAACUCUAAGCGUAGUAAUUUUUCCUCGCUUCUGUAGUUGGCCCGGCCCCUGCCGUAAAACCCCCUAUUUUUUAUGGUUGACCUCGGAUCAGGUAGGAAUACCCGCUGAACUUAAGCAUAUCAAUAAGCGGAGGAAAAGAAACCAACAGGGAUUGCCCUAGUAACGGCGAGUGAAGCGGCAACAGCUCAAAUUUGAAAUCUGGCCUUCUUGGUCCGAAUUGUAAUUUGUAGAGGAUGCUUUUGGCGCGGUGCCUUCCGAGUUCCCUGGAACGGGACGCCUUAGAGGGUGAGAGCCCCGUACGGUUGGACACCAAGCCUCUGUAAAGCUCCUUCGACGAGUCGAGUAGUUUGGGAAUGCUGCUCUAAAUGGGAGGUAAAUUUCUUCUAAAGCUAAAUACCGGCCAGAGACCGAUAGCGCACAAGUAGAGUGAUCGAAAGAUGAAAAGCACUUUGAAAAGAGGGUUAAAUAGCACGUGAAAUUGUUGAAAGGGAAGCGUUUACGACCAGACCUUUUCCUGGCGGAUCAUCCGGUGUUCUCACCGGUGCACUUCGCCUGGUUUAGGCCAGCAUCGGUUUCCGUAGGGGGAUAAAAGCUUGGGGAAAGUAGCUCUCUUCGGAGAGUGUUAUAGCCCUUUGCAUAAUACUUCUAUAGGGACCGAGGACCGCGCU